Non-coding RNA from Bemisia tabaci, 529 nucleotides. Lineage: Eukaryota; Metazoa; Arthropoda; Insecta; Hemiptera; Aleyrodidae. The record is from RefSeq and is a predicted model, not a curated record.
CCGUUCGACUCACAGCUGCUCCGCGUUCUGUCGUUUCGCCGUUAUUUGCUGUCGACGAGCGCGAGUCGUGCGGGAACCGAUUACACGCGUCACCGAAUUCGGGAACCGAAAGUUGCCGAAUCACGCCUCCAAGCUUGUGCAAUGCAGCAGGCAGAGAAACUUUAAUUUUCAAUCAAAAUUUCAAAAUGUAAAAAUCAAAGAUGGCGGAUGUGGCCCGAUAUGCUAUCUCAGUUGCAGUCCCACCGAUGUUUGUGAAAAUCAGAAACGAUGAUCCAGAAGGACUUGGUUGCUCAACACAAUUUUGUGUUGAGUCGACCUAAAAGUUAGGUUACUCUGAGACAUCGGAGCAUGAGGAAAGUGUUCUACCGAAGUUAUGUACUCUUGUGUUUCUCCUAACCUCUAACUUGCGAGCGGGUAGCAAAUUGGACUACCACUGAUGUGAUCCAGAUUGAUUCUGACGGCUGGCGACUGAUUUUUAACGAAGUCGCAGAUUUUCGGCACAAAGAUUUGGUCACCUCAACCCAAAGAU